AGAGGCAAAACGCUGCAGAAUAGGGAGGCGAGGAGUGUUUUUGCGCGAAGAGCGGCGGUGGUGGGAUUGGGAUCAAGGGGGCGGCGGUACCGGCUGCUGGUGAUGAGGAGGUUCGCGUUCAUGCUGCUGAGGGGCGGCGGCGCGGCCUGCCCUAAGAGGAGGCCGGGCGGCGGGCGGAGCGGCGGCCAACGGCCACGGGGCCACGGUAGAAGCAUGUUGUGACACGGCGGCGGAGGGCUGCUCUAGGUCGAGCGCUUCGUCGCGCGCGUCCUCUAGCGUCGAGCCGAGAAGUCGCGGCGACUCCGCUUCGCAGGGGCGCAGCUGUUACCGCUACUGCUGCACCCGUGGCGACCACCUCCUCCAAGGGACCCCCCGCCACCGGCAUAGCCGCCGCCGCCGGAACCUAAGAGCAGGAGUCGGCCACCACCGGUACCAAGGAGGUAGGGUGGGAAUAGAAGAGUUCCUUUGAGUGUAGUCAUAAGAAGUAUACCACCACCUAUGGUCUCACCAUCAUGUUGUUUUUUCUAACUGUAGGGUUUACCUUCCCAACCACAAUAGUAACCUUUUCGACCUCUUUGAUAUUUCGUAGAGGUUCGAGUCAGUCCCCGCUUCUAGGUUCAUUGUUCCCUGUACCUACAAGUUGGGCCAAGUGUCUGUUCUAGUCAACUAGAAAGCCCGUGAGGACUAGUCUAUUUGUCUCGACUCGUCAACUAUUAACUACAAGAACGUCUCCGACUACGACCUAGUAGACCGUGAUAGAGAUUAGCCUUCAUGUUGCGUGGAGUUGGACCACGACUCGUUAAGGUUUACGUUUAACGAUUGUUAUUCCACCCAGACCAAUAACCAUUCCCACCACUCUGAUAUUUUAGGUACGUCCGGUUUAGAGUUCGAGCAUAUGUCCAGUAAGGAAACGUAAACGGAGGGCCACUAUGAAGUUGACUUUCUUGUGACAUAUAACUACCAUGACGUCUCGUUUAACUUUAUCGUUUCGUCGAACACUCACUCCAAUGGUCACUCCAGUCGAAAGGAAGAGAUAUGUACGGUGAAGGAUUAACGACGUCGAUAAACAAUAAAUAGUCACAACAAUUUUAGUACACCCAAACUAAUAUAAAAAAACAUACGGUAUGACACAAAAACAGAACUAAAUAUAAAGAGAUGAACUGGACAGAAAAGGUAACAAACGAAAACUUUUAGAAGAGAAAUCAAUACUAUACGGGAUAUAAGAACAGUUUACAUGUACAGGUUUUGAAAAAGAGUUACUCCCAACAGAACAUUUUUUUCAACCAGUUCCUCGUCGUCGUCAAACAGAAACUGUACUAACAUAUGAAAUAUGUUAACACACAAACGAAGACUCUACAAGUCUCUACGUGUUGCUUAGCCUUUAACAUAAACAUUAAACGGGUCAGAGAAACAAUAAUCGACGAUACGAGACACCUUAGAGACGACUUUUAUGAUCUUUAUAAAUUUGUGAGUGUCAAUUUAUGACCGAUUAGGUAUGAAGGUAACCCUUCAACUAUAGGAUAGUGUCGCAAAAAUGAUGUAUAGUAUGGCCACGAACACCACGAUAGGUAUAUAGGGUCCUAUAUGACAGACUAGUAAUUGUCUGUAUUCCGGUUUAAUCACAACCAUUGAUCAAGCCUCCCGACGGUUGUAGUUAGAACCUCGGUCCAAACAACGAUGGAUUACAAUUAUAUGAACUACGAGUACCUACUUUCUAUUUUAAUACUUGAUGAGGGAGACAAAGCCAUAUUUCCCGGGUAAACAUGGUAACCUCAUAUGGUAAUCUUAAGUUUAUGUUUAAGUUACCAUAUUUAUGAAAAACUUGUUAUAUUAUGUAUGUAGGUCGUUGUGUGGAACAGGAAGAUAUAACUUUGCCUUCCUGAUAAAAUAUAAACCUAAUAUACUAAACUAAAGUACAUGGACCAGGAACAGGACCGUUUAAAGGUAAACGAUAAAGACAUGUAGAAACCCCUAUCAGACACGUUAUGACAUAUGUCCACUAGUCAAACGUGUGAAUUUACUACAGAACACGUGACAACAGCGACCAUAGAUCCGAUAACUAUAAAAACGAGUGAUUCCCAGAUCUAUAGUAAGAACGUAAUAAGGGAAUUUUGAGAACUACGAAGUAAAAGUCAGGGUAAAAUGGACAACGAUUGUGGUGGUAGACCCUCGUGGUGCAGUGUUUAUUCUUACAAUGUUAAAUAACUGAUCCGUUCUCUCAAGCAUACACAACACAUCAAACCUUUUAAGUACGUCCUAUGGACCGUACUUAGAUAACAGAAGCCAAACGAAGAUAUAUAAAGAGACACAGAACUGAAAAGUCCAACGGUACUGGUUCGAAGGAAUUUUUGAAACGAAUUUAGGAAAGAAACUGUAAGAACAAGUGGAUAUUAUAUUAUAAAAAAAAACUCCUCCUAAAAGCUUUCUUGACGACGACACAUACAACACAGUAAAUCGUUAUUUUCAUCUACAAGAUGUAUUAUGACUAAAUAGUUGUAGAUACUUGACGUUCCGUUAGAAAAUAACGAUAAGUUAUACAUAUAUAUAUAAACAGAUCGACGGGUUAGAAGUAAUAGAGGGUAUCAAAACGUGUACCCUCUGCGAUCUACCCGUAGUCGUUACAACGAACUCUUAGAACGAGCCACUCAACUGGGGAGGUAAAAAAGAACCACCAAGACAUUAAAGACAUAUAAUGCAACGAAACCAAAACCUAUACAAAACAGACCAAACGUGAACAAGACGUACCAUGUAACGUACAAAACAAGAUCAGUAUAUGUCUACACGUUUGAUAUAAAAACGUCUUAGCACGGUCUUUAGGUUACAGUCCACCGAUAAGAGUCGUCCCGAUGGCGGGAGGAGCAGGAGUCCGUUUGACCCCACGCGGACCACGUGGUUGUUGUGUUGUCGGACCAAUACCAAUGUACGUCGGACCUCGAAUAGGACCACGCGGUGGUGUCAUACCGGUCGUUGGAAUACCGUCGAUGGGAGGUCGUAGACCACCAAUAGUCUGUCCCACCCUAGUCAGAAGUUUGGUCGUUAGUGUCGUUCGGGGGGGACCGUGACCGAUACUGAUGAUAUUGGUUGUCGUCGUUGGGGUUGUCGUUGUUAGACGGUGACCUUGACGACGUGGACGACUACCAUCGUUGAUGUUAAUGUCGGUCGGAGGACGAUCAAUACCAAGUGUUCCCAUACCACUAGGAUGGAUGAGAGUCGUCUCACCACCCGUCGUUCGAAUACUGAUGAGACCAAUGGUCUGGGUUCCCGUCGUCGUCAGAAUGAGUGUCGUCGGACCUAUACUGGUCGUCUCGAUACCCCGUAGACCGAUACCUAGUAGACGAUUAAGUUGAGUCCUACCAUGACGUGGAUCGAUACCACCAGGUCCGCCGCAACCAGUUCGUAGAGGUCCCGUCGUUCGAAGGUGAGGUAGGAGACCUCCGGUUGGCCCAAUAGGAUCGGUUGGUGGAUGAUCACGACGACGCAGUUCGAUGGGCCGCGUUCCAAGACGGGGAGGUAGACCUAUGCAACGAGGUGUCUGUGUCGGACCGAUACCAUGCGUCGGUGGUGGUGUCCCGGGCAUGCCAGUCCCACGAAUACCCGUCGGAGGCGUCCGAGUCUUCGGCGGAAGUAGACGAGGAUGAAUACCUGUCGGUGACGGACGAGUCCGACCAAUACACGUCAUACCUAUGUCAGUCGUUCCGAUACCACGUGGCGGCGGAAUGGGACCACGUGGGUGACGAUCGGUCGGUCCGAUACCGGUCGUCGUCAGUAUGCCACUAGGAAUACGAUGACCAUCGAUACCCGUCGGAUGUCGCAUAAGAUGACUUCGAUGACGACGCAGGGACCUAGUUAGGCGGCACCGUGGACGCGGAUGGUGUCGUUGACGGCGAGGACGAGGUCGAGGACGGUUGUCACCGCGGGGGGUUUGAAGCGGCUCAACUCGAUGGACGAGGACGGAGACGACGUAGACGUUAGACCAAAGUAACCGAGACGACGAACUUCAUAUUAGGAGUCAAAUAGGUACGAUAGAACAAUAACGAUCGAACACUUGAAAUAUAUAACGAUAUAAUAUAGGACCAAAACGACGAACGCAUACCGUACAUGACGACACGAACACUAGCGACCACGUAUAACACUGGAUAUGAACCAAACCCGUGACUUUACGUUGACAUAAGUUAAAACGUCGAAUGGCACAAUAAUAUCAAUACACCUACUUUAUACAUAAACUGUAGUUAAAGAUCGUCGUGAAGUCGGAAUAAUUAUGGGAGUAUGAAACAACAGAAAUUAAACUACAAAAGUGGAACAAUAAAGUUACAAACCGACGACAAGAACGUAGACUCAAAUGUUGUGAGAACUCUACAUAAGUCCACCACGAAUCUCUUGUUUAGGCAGGUCUACCUAGAACCCAAUAGGGAGCUCCCCCGCAGCCAAGGUCCUCCCUCCGCAGUAAACGCCCUGUUUGGUGUUUGGUAGAAGUGCUAACAGAC
Molecule: ribosomal RNA, 4484 nt
Filed under: Triticum aestivum (bread wheat)
Lineage: Eukaryota; Viridiplantae; Streptophyta; Magnoliopsida; Poales; Poaceae
Description: partial small subunit ribosomal RNA
Source: RNAcentral